Non-coding RNA from Pelmatolapia mariae (spotted tilapia), 73 nucleotides. NCBI's taxonomy places the organism in Eukaryota, Metazoa, Chordata, Actinopteri, Cichliformes, Cichlidae. The record is from the annotation of a RefSeq genome assembly.
GGCUCUGUGGUGCAAUGGAUAGCACAUUGGGUUGCUAAUUCAAAGGUUGUGGGUUCAAGUCCCACCAGAGUCA